GAGUUUGAUCAUGGCUCAGGGCGAACGCUGGCGGCGUGCCUAAUACAUGCAAGUCGAACGGUCUUUUCUAUGGAAGCUUGCUUCCACUGAGAAGAUAGUGGCGAACGGGUGAGUAACACGUGGGUAACCUGCCCAUAAGAGGGGGAUAACAUCCGGAAACGGGUGCUAAUACCGCAUAGUUUUCUUGAUCGCAUGAUCGGGAAAGGAAAGACGGCCUUUGUGCUGUCGCUUAUGGAUGGACCCGCGGCGUAUUAGUUAGUUGGCGAGGUAACGGCUCACCAAGGCGAUGAUACGUAGCCGACCUGAGAGGGUGAUCGGCCACAUUGGGACUGAGACACGGCCCAAACUCCUACGGGAGGCAGCAGUAGGGAAUCUUCCGCAAUGGACGAAAGUCUGACGGAGCAACGCCGCGUGAGUGAAGAAGGUUUUCGGAUCGUAAAACUCUGUUGUCAGAGAAGAACAAGUUGGAGAGUAACUGCUCCAGCCUUGACGGUAUCUGACCAGAAAGCCACGGCUAACUACGUGCCAGCAGCCGCGGUAAUACGUAGGGUGGCAAGCGUUGUCCGGAUUUAUUGGGCGUAAAGCGAGCGCAGGCGGUUCCUUAAGUCUGAUGUGAAAGC
This 620-nucleotide ribosomal RNA is filed under the name uncultured bacterium. Its description in RNAcentral is "bacterial SSU rRNA". It matches the Rfam family "Bacterial small subunit ribosomal RNA", at positions 9 to 601 of the family's 1533-position model. The record is from RNAcentral.